AGGUACUCCCGAAUCUCGCCUGUGAUGGGGGAGAUAGGGAUAACGGCUGGAUGGCACAGCCAGCGGUUCGCCUGUUCGACAAAUCCACGGGCAGAGUACGCCCACAAGAGCAGGUGGCCUGCGAACCAUAAUCUCCUAACGCUCAGGAAACCGCGCCGUUCACGGCGCGGA
This is a non-coding RNA of Natrinema pellirubrum DSM 15624, 171 nucleotides long. NCBI's taxonomy places the organism in Archaea, Methanobacteriati, Methanobacteriota, Halobacteria, Halobacteriales, Natrialbaceae. The record is from Rfam.